Molecule: long non-coding RNA, 836 nt
Filed under: Oncorhynchus kisutch (coho salmon)
Lineage: Eukaryota; Metazoa; Chordata; Actinopteri; Salmoniformes; Salmonidae
Description: lncRNA (ENSOKIG00005040024.1)
Source: RNAcentral
CAGACUCCUUUUGGACCAGCAGAUCGGUAAGACUCUCCCUUACAGCAGAUCGGGAGGAUGGCCAACGUCCAGGUGCCUGUUGUGGCCAUCGGUGCGUUUGGGGACAGUCCUGUCCAGAUGACCUGUCCUACCUGUCACCAGACCGUGGUCACUAAGGUUGACUUCUCCUCUGGUGUCCUCACCUACCUCUUCUGUGGAGGACUCUUCUUCUGUGGGUAUGUACAAGAGUGUGUGUGUGGUGUGUAGUGUGUGUGUGUGUGUGUGUGUGUGUGUGUAGUGUGUAUGUAGUGUGUGUGUGUGUGUGUGUGUGUGUGUGUGUAGUGUGUAUGUAGUGUGUGUGUGUGUGCAUGUAGUGUGUGUGCAUGUAGUGUGUGUGUGUGUGUGUGUGUGUGUGUGUGUGUGUGUGUAGUGUGUGUGUAGUGUGUGUGUAGUGUGUGUGUGUAGUGUGUGUGUGUGUGUGUAUGUAGUGUGUGUGUGUAGUGUGUAUGUAGUGUGUGUGUGUAGUGUGUGUGUAGUGUGUGUGUAGUGUGUGUGUGUGUAGUGUGUAUGUAGUGUGUGUGUGCAUGUGGUGUGUGUGUAGUGUGUGUGUAGUGUGUGUGUGUGUGUGUGUGUGUGUGUGUGUGUGUGUGUAGUGUGUGUGCAUGUGGUGUGUGUGUAGUGUGUGUGUGUAGUGUGUGGGGUGAAAGCCAAUCCUACUGUUUGUCAGUGGGUUCAGGUCAGGCACCACAGGCAUCAAUCUAGCAAUUUUGCAAUCCAUUAAUAUUAGUAAUUUUCACAAAAUAAACAAACAAAUGUCAAACUUGAUGAAAAUGUAUGUAUUUGUUUUUGUUUAUCAU